This 254-nucleotide ribosomal RNA is filed under the name uncultured bacterium. RNAcentral's name for it is "partial 16S ribosomal RNA". It matches the Rfam family "Bacterial small subunit ribosomal RNA", at positions 524 to 776 of the family's 1533-position model. The record is from RNAcentral.
UACGUAGGGUGCAAGCGUUGUCCGGAAUUAUUGGGCGUAAAGAGCUCGUAGGCGGUCUGUCGCGUCGGCUGUGAAAACUCGGGGCUCAACCCCGAGCCUGCAGUCGAUACGGGCAGACUAGAGUGCUGUAGGGGAGACUGGAAUUCCUGGUGUAGCGGUGAAAUGCGCAGAUAUCAGGAGGAACACCGGUGGCGAAGGCGGGUCUCUGGGCAGUAACUGACGCUGAGGAGCGAAAGCGUGGGGGAGCGAACAGG